This 220-nucleotide long non-coding RNA is filed under the name Elaeis guineensis (African oil palm). RNAcentral describes it as "long non-coding RNA (EGUI_LNC064911)". Lineage: Eukaryota; Viridiplantae; Streptophyta; Magnoliopsida; Arecales; Arecaceae. The record is from RNAcentral.
AUGAUCGAUAGGGGUAUUUGGGACCAUGAUUUCUACAAAAAUCUCAGCAAGUUAUUCAAAAAAAAAUUGAAGAUAGGUUUUAGGGAUUACCUGAUUCGUAGGGGUGUUUGGGACUACGAUUCCAUCGGGACAGUGUCUUCUAAUAGGAUAUGAGGUGGAGGGGAGGGAGGCCUUAUUUAUAAGAGAAGUUUAAAGUUUUUGACUUGAUUCUUGUCGGGGU